AACGAACGCUGGCGGCAUGCCUAACACAUGCAAGUCGAACGAAGGCUUCGGCCUUAGUGGCGCACGGGUGCGUAACGCGUGGGAAUCUGCCCUUGGGUUCGGAAUAACUCAGAGAAAUUUGAACUAAUACCGGAUGAUGACGUAAGUCCAAAGAUUUAUCGCCCAAGGAUGAGCCCGCGUAAGAUUAGCUAGUUGGUGGGGUAAAGGCCUACCAAGGCGACGAUCUUUAGCUGGUCUGAGAGGAUGAUCAGCCACACUGGGACUGAGACACGGCCCAGACUCCUACGGGAGGCAGCAGUGGGGAAUAUUGGACAAUGGGCGAAAGCCUGAUCCAGCAAUGCCGCGUGAGUGAUGAAGGCCUUAGGGUUGUAAAGCUCUUUUACCAGGGAUGAUAAUGACAGUACCUGGAGAAUAAGCUCCGGCUAACUCCGUG
This 433-nucleotide ribosomal RNA is filed under the name uncultured bacterium. RNAcentral describes it as "bacterial SSU rRNA". It matches the Rfam family "Bacterial small subunit ribosomal RNA", at positions 29 to 507 of the family's 1533-position model. The record is from RNAcentral.